This 186-nucleotide small RNA is filed under the name Pongo abelii (Sumatran orangutan). Its description in RNAcentral is "processed transcript". The record is from RNAcentral. Lineage: Eukaryota; Metazoa; Chordata; Mammalia; Primates; Hominidae.
AUUUCUUUUCAACCAGUUUUCAGGCAGCAUUUUCUCACCAAGAAAGAGCUCAUUAAAGCUCUUGUGGAGAAUAUAGAUAUGGACACAAGCCUCAUUUUGGAAUAUUGCAGGCAUUGAGUAUUCUGAAACAUUUGAAGUCAUACAGAAGAAUUUCUCCUCCCGUGGAUCUAGAAUAUCAGUAUAUGU